AACUCGAAGAAGCUCGCAAACGCGCCGCCCUCAUCGCCGCCUCUUCCUCCACCAGUACCGCCGCCGGUACCGGCGGAGCUGCCACAGCCGGUGUCUCCUCUCUCCUCCAACACUUCGACCGAUCAACAGUCGAUCCUUCCUCCAAAAACAACCGCAUCGGCCUCAAUUAAUGGAGGUUGAAGUGAAGCUCAGGUUGCCUGAUUCAUCAGCACAUCAGAAGGUACUCUCACUUUUCUCAUCGCACCACAAAAAAACACACCACCAGCGUAACACUUUCUUCGAUGGCGCUGCCGGCGAGUUGAGCUCGCGCCGGGCUGUUCUCCGGCUUCGAUUCUAUGAGAACUCGGAGAAAGUGAAAUGCAUGGUGUGUCUCAAGGCUAAAGCUGUAAUUAUCGACGGUGUUAGUCGAGUGGAAGAGGAUGAAGAGGAAUUAGAUCCGAAAAUUGGAUAUGAAUGCGUUUCUAACCCUAGAAAACUGAUGGAGGUAGAUUCUAGGGUUUUGAAAAGGGCAAGAGAGGAAUUUCAUGUUGGGGAAGAAGGGUUUAUUGGAUUGGGUGGGUUUAAGAAUGUGAGGAAUGUGUUUGAGUGGUGUGGUGUGGAAUUGGAGGUAGAUGAGACUAUGUAUGACUUUGGUACUUUUUAUGAGAUUGAAUGUGAAAGCUUGGAGCCAGAGAAAGUUAAAGCAAUGAUUGAGGCAUUCUUGAAGGACAAUGACAUUGAUUACAGCUAUUCAGAAGUGUCAAAGUUUGCUACUUUCCGGGCCGGAAAGUUGCCUUAGUUUACCUUCUAGAUGGUACGCCAUAUCUCGAAGGCUUGAAGUGUUCAUUGCCUCAGUAUUUUGCAGUUGAGUCUUACCAUCUCGCAUAUGUUUGGGACGAGACUUGACAAGCCUGAAAUAAUAUUUUGUGGUUUCCUAAUCACAUACGCUCUUGCUGAUAGAGUUUCUUAUGUAUUUUUGGGUUCUAUUUAGAACAUCAAUAUCUUCUAUUUGUGGAGAUGGAGUAUUUAGUAUUAAGCUUAAUGUUGAACUUUAU
RNAcentral lists this unclassified non-coding RNA (1034 nucleotides) under Hevea brasiliensis (rubber tree). The record is from RNAcentral. Lineage: Eukaryota; Viridiplantae; Streptophyta; Magnoliopsida; Malpighiales; Euphorbiaceae.